UACGUAGGUGGCAAGCGUUGUCCGGAAUUAUUGGGCGUAAAGCGCGCGCAGGUGGUUUCUUAAGUCUGAUGUGAAAGCCCACGGCUCAACCGUGGAGGGUCAUUGGAAACUGGGGAACUUGAGUGCAGAAGAGGAUAGUGGAAUUCCAAGUGUAGCGGUGAAAUGCGUAGAGAUUUGGAGGAACACCAGUGGCGAAGGCGACUUUCUGGUCUGUAACUGACACUGAGGCGCGAAAGCGUGGGGAGCGAACAGG
Molecule: ribosomal RNA, 253 nt
Filed under: uncultured bacterium
Lineage: Bacteria
Description: partial 16S ribosomal RNA
Rfam family: Bacterial small subunit ribosomal RNA
Source: RNAcentral